UACACUCCUACGGGAGGCAGCAGUGGGGAAUAUUGGACAAUGGGCGCAAGCCUGAUCCAGCCAUGCCGCGUGAGUGAUGAAGGCCCUAGGGUUGUAAAGCUCUUUUGUGCGGGAAGAUAAUGACGGUACCGCAAGAAUAAGCCCCGGCUAACUUCGUGCCAGCAGCCGCGGUAAUACGAAGGGGGCUAGCGUUGCUCGGAAUCACUGGGCGUAAAGGGUGCGUAGGCGGGUCUUUAAGUCAGGGGUGAAAUCCUGGAGCUCAACUCCAGAACUGCCUUUGAUACUGAAGAUCUUGAGUUCGGGAGAGGUGAGUGGAACUGCGAGUGUAGAGGUGAAAUUCGUAGAUAUUCGCAAGAACACCAGUGGCGAAGGCGGCUCACUGGCCCGAUACUGACGCUGAGGCACGAAAGCGUGGGGAGCAAACAGGAUUAGAAACCCCGGUAGUCCCA
RNAcentral lists this ribosomal RNA (449 nucleotides) under uncultured organism. Its description in RNAcentral is "partial 16S ribosomal RNA". It matches the Rfam family "Bacterial small subunit ribosomal RNA", at positions 332 to 797 of the family's 1533-position model. The record is from RNAcentral.